GUUGGUGAGGUAAAGGCUUACCAAGGCGACGAUCUGUAGCGGGUCUGAGAGGAUGAUCCGCCACACUGGAACUGAGACACGGUCCAGACUCCUACGGGAGGCAGCAGUGGGGAAUUUUGGACAAUGGGGGCAACCCUGAUCCAGCCAUGCCGUGUGAGUGAAGAAGGCCUUCGGGUUGUAAAGCUCUUUCGGCCGGGAAGAAAUCGCAUGGGCCAAUACCCUGUGUGGAUGACGGUACCGGAAUAAGAAGCACCGGCUAACUACGUGCCAGCAGCCGCGGUAAUACGUAGGGUGCGAGCGUUAAUCGGAAUUACUGGGCGUAAAGCGUGCGCAGGCGGUUUUGUAAGACAGGCGUGAAAUCCCCGGGCUUAACCUGGGAACUGCGUUUGUGACUGCAAGGCUAGAGUACGGCAGAGGGGGGUGGAAUUCCACGUGUAGCAGUGAAAUGCGUAGAGAUGUGGAGGAACACCAAUGGCGAAGGCAGCCCCCUGGGUCGAUACUGACGCUCAUGCACGAAAGCGUGGGUAGCAAACAGGAUUAGAUACCCUGGUAGUCCACGCCCUAAACUAUGUCAACUAGGUGUUGGGUGGGUAAAACCAUUUAGUACCGUAGCUAACGCGUGAAGUUGACCGCCUGGGGAGUACGGCCGCAAGGUUAAAACUCAAAGGAAUUGACGGGGACCCGCACAAGCGGUGGAUGAUGUGGAUUAAUUCGAUGCAACGCGAAAAACCUUACCUACCCUUGACAUGCCAGGAACUUGCCAGAGAUGGCUUGGUGCCCGAAAGGGAGCCUGGACACAGGUGCUGCAUGGCUGUCGUCAGCUCGUGUCGUGAGAUGUUGGGUUAAGUCCCGCAACGAGCGCAACCCUUGUCGUUAAUUGCCAUCAUUUAGUUGGGCACUUUAACGAGACUGCCGGUGACAAACCGGAGGAAGGUGGGGAUGACGUCAAGUCCUCAUGGCCCUUAUGGGUAGGGCUUCACACGUCAUACAAUGGUCGGUACAAAGGGUUGCCAAGCCGCGAGGCGGAGCCAAUCCCAGAAAGCCGAUCGUAGUCCGGAUUGCAGGCUGCAACUCGCCUGCAUGAAGUCGGAAUCGCUAGUAAUCGUGGAUCAGCAUGUCACGGUGAAUACGUUCCCGGGUCUUGUACACACCGCCCGUCACACCAUGGGAGCGGGUUCCGCCAGAAGUAGGUAGCCUAACCGCAAGGGGGGCGCUUACCACGGCGGGGUUCGUGACUGGGGUGAAGUCGUAACAAGGUAGCCGUAGGGGAACCUGCGGCUG
This 1281-nucleotide ribosomal RNA is filed under the name metagenome. Its description in RNAcentral is "bacterial SSU rRNA". It matches the Rfam family "Bacterial small subunit ribosomal RNA", at positions 248 to 1520 of the family's 1533-position model. The record is from RNAcentral.